This is a long non-coding RNA of Castor canadensis (American beaver), 251 nucleotides long. RefSeq lists it as uncharacterized. NCBI's taxonomy places the organism in Eukaryota, Metazoa, Chordata, Mammalia, Rodentia, Castoridae. The record is from RefSeq and is a predicted model, not a curated record.
GCCUGCUGAAAUAUGAAGACCCAGCAUGAAAGCCUGCAGCUAACUUAAGGUUGGCAUUUCGAAUAGGACUACCUACUCUCCAUAGAGUGACUUGUACACUGGAUGACAGAGAACUACACUGUGCUUUUGCCAGCCAUGACAGCCACAUCCCACUUAGUUCCACAAAGAGAAUGCCUACAUGUCUUUGGUGAGCUCACUCAGGUAAAUGGAUGGAACUGGAGAACAUCUUCUUAAGUGAAGUUAGCCAGGCU